CCUACGGGUGGCAGCAGUGAGGAAUAUUGGUCAAUGGGCGCGAGCCUGAACCAGCCAAGUAGCGUGAAGGAUGACUGCCCUACGGGUUGUAAACUUCUUUUAUAAAGGAAUAAAGUGAGGCACGUGUGCCUUUUUGCAUGUACUUUAUGAAUAAGGAUCGGCUAACUCCGUGCCAGCAGCCGCGGUAAUACGGAGGAUCCGAGCGUUAUCCGGAUUUAUUGGGUUUAAAGGGAGCGUAGAUGGGUUGUUAAGUCAGUUGUGAAAGUUUGCGGCUCAACCGUAAAAUUGCAAUUGAUACUGGCAGCCUUGAGUACAGUUGAGGUAGGCGGAAUUCGUGGUGUAGCGGUGAAAUGCUUAGAUAUCACGAAGAACUCCGAUUGCGAAGGCAGCCUACUAAACUGCGACUGACAUUGAUGCUCGAAAGUGUGGGUAUCAAACAGGAUUAGAUACCCUUGUAGUC
RNAcentral lists this ribosomal RNA (460 nucleotides) under uncultured bacterium. RNAcentral's name for it is "partial 16S ribosomal RNA". It matches the Rfam family "Bacterial small subunit ribosomal RNA", at positions 338 to 795 of the family's 1533-position model. The record is from RNAcentral.